UACGAAGGGAGCUAGCGUUGUCCGGAAUCACUGGGCGUAAAGCGCACGUAGGCGGAUGUGUCAGUCAGGGGUGAAAUCCCGGAGCUCAACUUCGGAACUGCCUUUGAUACAGCACGUCUUGAGUCCGGAAGAGGUGGGUGGAAUUCCUAGUGUAGAGGUGAAAUUCGUAGAUAUUAGGAAGAACACCGGUGGCGAAGGCGGCCCACUGGUCCGGUACUGACGCUGAGGUGCGAAAGCGUGGGGAGCAAACAGG
RNAcentral lists this ribosomal RNA (253 nucleotides) under uncultured bacterium. RNAcentral describes it as "partial 16S ribosomal RNA". It matches the Rfam family "Bacterial small subunit ribosomal RNA", at positions 524 to 776 of the family's 1533-position model. The record is from RNAcentral.